RNAcentral lists this ribosomal RNA (433 nucleotides) under uncultured bacterium. RNAcentral describes it as "partial 16S ribosomal RNA". It matches the Rfam family "Bacterial small subunit ribosomal RNA", at positions 29 to 507 of the family's 1533-position model. The record is from RNAcentral.
AACGAACGCUGGCGGCAGGCCUAACACAUGCAAGUCGAGCGCGCCCUUCGGGGUGAGCGGCGGACGGGUGAGUAACGCGUGGGAACGUGCCCUUUUCUACGGCAUAGACUCGGGAAACUGAGAGUAAUACCGUAUACGCCCUCUGGGGGAAAGAUUUAUCGGAAAAGGAUCGGCCCGCGUUGGAUUAGGUAGUUGGUGGGGUAAUGGCCUACCAAGCCGACGAUCCAUAGCUGGUUUGAGAGGAUGAUCAGCCACACUGGGACUGAGACACGGCCCAGACUCCUACGGGAGGCAGCAGUGGGGAAUCUUAGACAAUGGGGGCAACCCUGAUCUAGCCAUGCCGCGUGAGUGAUGAAGGCCUUAGGGUUGUAAAGCUCUUUCAGCUGGGAAGAUAAUGACGGUACCAGCAGAAGAAGCCCCGGCUAACUCCGUG